Molecule: transfer RNA, 75 nt
Filed under: Candidatus Bathyarchaeota archaeon
Lineage: Archaea; Thermoproteati; Candidatus Bathyarchaeota
Description: tRNA-Gly
Rfam family: tRNA
About the family: Transfer RNA (tRNA) molecules are approximately 80 nucleotides in length. Their secondary structure includes four short double-helical elements and three loops (D, anti-codon, and T loops).
Source: RNAcentral
GCGGCGCUGGUCUAACCUGGUUAGGACACCAGCCUUCCAAGCUGGGAACUCCGGGUUCAAAUCCCGGGCGCCGCA